This 89-nucleotide non-coding RNA is filed under the name Pseudomonas sp. URMO17WK12:I11. Lineage: Bacteria; Pseudomonadati; Pseudomonadota; Gammaproteobacteria; Pseudomonadales; Pseudomonadaceae. The record is from RNAcentral.
CUUUAUGGUGGUCAUGCGUGGGGCUCCAUUGUGAGCGCCGGGUUUCCUGUUUCGACCGGUCUACCAACCCACGCAUGGCCGCCACCCUU